AGCAGUAGCCACGGGAAUACGAGGGGUGCAAGCGUUAUUCGGAUUGAUUGGGCGUAAAGCGAGCGCAGGCGGUUAGAUAAGUCUGAAGUUAAAGGCUGAGGCUUAACCAUAGUACGCUUUGGAAACUGUUUGACUUGAGUGCAGAAGGGGAGAGUGGAGUUCCAUGUGUAGCGGAGAAAUGCGUAGAUAUAUGGAGGAACACCGGUGGCGAAAGCGGCUCUCUGGUCUGUCACUGACGCUGAGGCUCGAAAGCGUGGGUAGCGAACAGGAUUAGAUACCCGCGUAGUCCCUGUCUCUUAUACA
Molecule: ribosomal RNA, 303 nt
Filed under: uncultured bacterium
Lineage: Bacteria
Description: partial 16S ribosomal RNA
Rfam family: Bacterial small subunit ribosomal RNA
Source: RNAcentral